CCACUUCUUCGGCCGGCCGCGUGUUGCUGCCGCCACCGUCGUAGACAGCCGCUGGCCCUCCACUGCACUGCACUGCACCGCACCACCGCGGCUUGCUCGCCACCGCACUUGAGGUGGGGGUUGGCGAUCGACUGGUCGAUGCGAGGAUGAUGGACACGCCGUCGACGACGUGCGCGGGGGGCCCCCCCCGCGACGACUUCGGGGACAUCGACGACGUGGAGCGGCGGCGCGGGCACCACCGGCGGGAGGCCUCGUCGGACGUGUCGUCCGAGUGCAGCGGCGAGCCCGGGAGCCCGUACGGCU
RNAcentral lists this long non-coding RNA (303 nucleotides) under Oryza brachyantha (malo sina). Its description in RNAcentral is "long non-coding RNA (OBRA_LNC001235)". The record is from RNAcentral. Lineage: Eukaryota; Viridiplantae; Streptophyta; Magnoliopsida; Poales; Poaceae.